This is a long non-coding RNA of Hirundo rustica (Barn swallow), 565 nucleotides long. RefSeq lists it as uncharacterized. The transcript is spliced from 3 exons. The record is from RefSeq and is a predicted model, not a curated record. NCBI's taxonomy places the organism in Eukaryota, Metazoa, Chordata, Aves, Passeriformes, Hirundinidae.
CUUUAAUCCCGGGUGUCUCUGAGGAGCAGGAGAGCCAGGCAGUCCCUGGCAAAGGAGGGCGACACGGGAAGCACCAAGGCCCCUUGGUUCUGCCCCAUGUGCUGCCAAAGCAUGGUAGAAACCCUAUUCUGCUCUGGCUGCUCAAGGACACUUGGCAUCAUCUACAGGUGCACCUCAAAGCAUCUCGACUGCAAGAGCAAUUUGUUCUGUUUCAGUAUUGGCUCUGUUGAAAGAUUGUAGCUGCUGAAAGGCUGAGGUGAGACCAGGAUCUGCAGAGUCCCUGACUCUCCAUGUCUUGCUGAGGCUGAAGCCGUCAAUGACAAAAUAGUGGAAGAUGCUAAAGACUGAAGACUUGUUUGUUUUAUCCCUGACUGCCAAGACUUUCUCUGCAGCUAUGCCCUGUAUAGCUCUUAAAAGAGUUUUCAGGUUUAGAAAGGUUUUUACAUUCUGCAAUAUUUAUCCGUAACUCAAUUAAAAAGAAUCGUACUGUAUCAAUGUGGUGUUAAUUACUCUGAGUUGGUUAAUUAAAGCAAAUCAUUGAUGAUGGGUUUGAGGAUCCCUUGGA